This 468-nucleotide ribosomal RNA is filed under the name uncultured bacterium. RNAcentral's name for it is "partial 16S ribosomal RNA". It matches the Rfam family "Bacterial small subunit ribosomal RNA", at positions 28 to 507 of the family's 1533-position model. The record is from RNAcentral.
GACGAACGCUGGCGGCGGGCUUAACACAUGCAAGUCGAACGGAAAGGCCCUGCUUUUGUGGGGUGCUCGAGUGGCGAACGGGUGAGUAACACGUGAGUAACCUGCCCUUGACUUUGGGAUAACUUCAGGAAACUGGGGCUAAUACCGGAUAGGAUCUCCUGCUGGAUUGUGGGGGGUGGAAAUUUUCGGCGGUUGGGGAUGGACUCGCGGCUUAUCAGCUUGUUGGUUGGGUAGUGGCUUACCAAGGCUUUGACGGGUAGCCGGCCUGAGAGGGUGACCGGCCACAUUGGGACUGAGAUACGGACCAGACUCCUACGGGAGGCAGCAGUGGGGAAUAUUGCACAAUGGGCGGAAGCCUGAUGCAGCAACGCCGCGUGCGGGAUGACGGCCUUCGGGUUGUAAACCGCUUUCGCCUGUGACGAAGCGUGAGUGACGGUAAUGGGUAAAGAAGCACCGGCUAACUACGUG